GGAAUAUUGCACAAUGGGCGAAAGCCUGAUGCAGCGACGCCGCGUGAGGGAUGACGGCCUUCGGGUUGUAAACCUCUUUCAGUAGGGAAGAAGCGAAAGUGACGGUACCUGCAGAAGAAGCGCCGGCUAACUACGUGCCAGCAGCCGCGGUAAUACGUAGGGCGCAAGCGUUAUCCGGAAUUAUUGGGCGUAAAGAGCUCGUAGGCGGUUUGUCGCGUCUGCCGUGAAAGUCCGAGGCUCAACUUCGGAUCUGCGGUGGGUACGGGCAGACUAGAGUGAUGUAGGGGAGACUGGAAUUCCUGGUGUAGCGGUGAAAUGCGCAGAUAUCAGGAGGAACACCGAUGGCGAAGGCAGGUCUCUGGGCAUCUACUGACGCUGAGGAGCGAAAGCAUGGGGAGCGAACAGGAUUAGAUACCCGGG
This 420-nucleotide ribosomal RNA is filed under the name uncultured Paeniglutamicibacter sp. RNAcentral describes it as "bacterial SSU rRNA". It matches the Rfam family "Bacterial small subunit ribosomal RNA", at positions 358 to 790 of the family's 1533-position model. Lineage: Bacteria; Bacillati; Actinomycetota; Actinomycetes; Micrococcales; Micrococcaceae. The record is from RNAcentral.